AUACGUAGGGGGCGAGCGUUGUCCGGAAUGAUUGGGCGUAAAGGGCGCGUAGGCGGCGCGGUAAGUCUGGAGUGAAAGUCCUGCUUUCAAGGUGGGAAUUGCUUUGGAUACUGCCGCGCUUGAGUGCAGGAGAGGUAAGUGGAAUUCCCAGUGUAGCGGUGAAAUGCGUAGAGAUUGGGAGGAACACCAGUGGCGAAGGCGACUUACUGGACUGUAACUGACGCUGAGGCGCGAAAGUGUGGGGAGCAAACAGGAUUAGAUACCCUGGUAGUCCACACUGUAAACGAUGAAUGCUAGGUGUAGGGGGUAUCGACCCCUUCUGUGCCGCAGUCAACACAAUAAGCAUUCCGCCUGGGGAGUACGGCCUCAAGGUUGAAACUCAAAUGAAUUGACGGGG
RNAcentral lists this ribosomal RNA (397 nucleotides) under uncultured bacterium. RNAcentral's name for it is "partial 16S ribosomal RNA". It matches the Rfam family "Bacterial small subunit ribosomal RNA", at positions 523 to 918 of the family's 1533-position model. The record is from RNAcentral.